CCUACGGGAGGCAGCAGUGAGGAAUAUUGGUCAAUGGCCGAGAGGCUGAACCAGCCAAGUCGCGUGAGGGAAGACGGCCCUACGGGUUGUAAACCUCUUUUGUCGGGGAGCAAAGAGAGGCACGUGUGACUCAUUGAGAGUACCCGAAGAAAAAGCAUCGGCUAACUCCGUGCCAGCAGCCGCGGUAAUACGGGGGAUGCGAUCGUUAUCCGGAUUUCUUGGGGUUAAAGGGUGCGCAGGCGGCGGUGCAAGUCAGCGGUCAAAUUGCGGGGCUUAACCCCGUACUGCCGUUGAAACUGCAUCCCUUGAGUGCGCGAGAAGUAUGCGGAAUGCGUGGUGUAGCGGUGAAAUGCAUAGAUAUCACGCAGAACUCC
Molecule: ribosomal RNA, 374 nt
Filed under: uncultured bacterium
Lineage: Bacteria
Description: partial 16S ribosomal RNA
Rfam family: Bacterial small subunit ribosomal RNA
Source: RNAcentral